CGUGUUACAAUGGGGGGUACAGAGGGCCGCUACCACGCGAGUGGAUGCCAAUCCCCAAAACCUCUCUCAGUUCGGACUGGAGUCUGCAACCCGACUCCACGAAGCUGGAUUCGCUAGUAAUCGCGCAUCAGCCACGGCGCGGUGAAUACGUUCCCGGGCCUUGUACACACCGCCCGUCAAGCCAUGGGAGCCGGGGGUACCUGAAGUGCGUAACCGCGAGGAGCGCCCUAGGGUAAAACUGGUGACUGGGGCUAAGUCGUAACAAGGUAGC
This 271-nucleotide ribosomal RNA is filed under the name uncultured bacterium. Its description in RNAcentral is "partial 16S ribosomal RNA". It matches the Rfam family "Bacterial small subunit ribosomal RNA", at positions 1221 to 1500 of the family's 1533-position model. The record is from RNAcentral.